GCACAGAUUAACUAAUAAGUGAUUGUUCCAUUUUAUCUUUAAGGGUACAGGACCAUGAGUUUAAGAACUCUACGAGCUGUAAAAUGAUCUGCCCUAAGGUGUUUGCCUUCAGAAGCUCUGCCAUGCUAUGUUUGCCUGGAAAAACUUGUCUUAAAGCUUAAUUAAAGAUAGCAUCCUGACAGAUCAAAGAUGUGGUUCACAGUCCUUUUAUGUUCAGCAGAAGAUCGUGGAGGCAGAAGAAGAUACAAAGGGUGAAUGGCCGAUAUGAAUGAAGCAAGGAAAGGAAGCAAGCAGAAAGUUCUCUUUUGCUACAGUAUAUGGAAAAAAAAGGAAACUGCUUACCAUCACCAUACUCAGGAGCUUGAAAGGACCACCAGGGCUGUUGGUCCCCUGGCAAGAAGAAAGGAUAUGUGACUCAAGCCCAGCCAGUCCUCACAGCUCAUUCACUGGCUGGGAUGGUUGGUCCAGGAAUGAGCACGUGAUUCAAAGUGGAUUUUUCAUCUUGAAUGGUGCAGUUUGGAAAUGGAGAAAAAUUGGACUUGCCCUGUGGCUCACUGAGUUGAAAUUAUGCAAAUCAGAGACUAUAAGCAGCUGUCUAUUCUGCUGGCCACAUGAAGAGAACGUCUCUGCAGGAGGAGAAAAUAAAGCCAACAGACAGAGUAAG
This 664-nucleotide long non-coding RNA is filed under the name Sus scrofa (pig). Its description in RNAcentral is "lncRNA (ENSSSCG00025006305.1)". The record is from RNAcentral. Lineage: Eukaryota; Metazoa; Chordata; Mammalia; Artiodactyla; Suidae.